CCACCACCUGCCAUAUUAGUUCUCUGCCAGAUCGUUGUUUGUGUGUACCUCGUCAUAGUCCAGUUCAUUGAUCCUGUGCGGCCGUAUAUCGUGUACCCUGUUCCUGUCGGCCAUGUUGAGGCCGUUCCUGUUCCUGUCGGCCAUGUUGAGGCCGUUCCUGUUCCUGUCGGCCAUGUUGAGGCCGUUCCUGUUCCUGUCGUCCAAGUAGAGGUCGUUCCAGUCCCUGUCGGCCAAGUAGAGGUCGUUCCAGUCCCUGUCGGCCAAGUGGAGGUCGUUCCAGUCCCUGUCGGCCAAGUGGAGGUCGUUCCAGUCCCUGUCGGCCAAGUGGAGGUCGUUCCAGUUCCUGUUCCAGUCCCUGUCGGCCAUGUUGAGGCCGUUCCAGUUCCUGUUCCAGUCCCUGUCGGCCAUGUUGCGGCCGUUCCAGUCCCUGUUCCUGUCGGCCAUGUUGCGGCCGUUCCAGUCCCUGUUCCUGUCGGCCAUGUUGCGGCCGUUCCAGUCCCUGUUCCUGUCGGUCAUGUCGCUGCCGUUCCAGUCCCUGUUCCCGUUCCUGUCGGCUCCCGCAAAGAUGCCGUUCGUGUCCCUGUUACCCUCGGAGCCACAGCCCCCGCCGGCCUCCAGGAGGAGGCGGCGCCGGCGGCAGUUCCUGCUACAGCUCCCGCCGGCCUCCAGGAGAAGGCGACGCCGGCUGCAGUUCCUGCUGCAGUUCCUGCGGACCUCCAGGAGGGGGUCGCGCCAGCUGCAGCUCCUGCGGACCUCCAGGAGGGGGUCGCGCCAGCUGCAGUUCCUGCGGACCUCCAGGAGGAGGUCGCGCCAGCUGAAGUUCCUGCGGACCUCCAGGAGGAGGUCGCGCCAGCUGCAGUUCCUGCGGGCCUCCAGGAGGAGGUCGCGCCAGCUGCAGUUCCUGCGGACCUCCAGGAGGAGGUCGCGCCAGCUGCAGUCCCUGCGGACCUCCAGGAGGGGGUCGCGCCAGCUGCAGUCCCUGCGGACCUCCAGGAGGGGGUCGCGCCAGCUGCAGUCCCUGCGGACCUCCAGGAGGGGGUCGCGCCAGCUGCAGUCCCUGCCGACCUCCAGGAGGGGGUCGCGCCAGCUGCAGUCCCUGCCGACCUCCAGGAGGGGGUCGCGCCCGUCGUAGUUCCUGCCGACCUCCAGGGGGUUCCCGUCGCAGCUCCCGCUGCGGUUCCUGGCGGCCCGGCUCCGGCCGCACCUGCUUCGGUUCCUGGCGGCCCGGCUCCGGCCGCACCUGCUUCGGUUCCUGGCGGCCCGGCUCCGGCCGCACCUGCUUCGGUUCCUGGCAGCCCGGCUCCGGCCGCACCUGCAUCGGUUCCUGGCGGCCCGGCUCCGGCCGCACCUGCAUCGGUUCCUGGCGGCCCGGCUCCGGCCGCACCUGCAUCGGUUCCUGGCGGCCCGGCUCCGGCCUCGUCUCCACGUCUGUCUUUGCCUCUGGUUCCUGCCUCAUCUCUGUCUCUGCUGCCGGACGGGUGGCCUCGCCCUCGACGCAUCCUGCUGCUUGGAUGGCACUGCCUCCUGCGGCGCCGUCCGCCUCGACUCCUCAGCCUCCUGGAUCAGCGUCCGCCAGGAGGACAUCGCCGUUCGGGGGGGUUCCCGUGGACGCUGGCCCAGCCCAAGGGCACUGGGUGUGCCCCCCUGCCUCAGCGGCGGCUGAGCAGGAUCUCGCCGCGUCCCCACCCUCCGUGA
This 1695-nucleotide long non-coding RNA is filed under the name Betta splendens (Siamese fighting fish). Its description in RNAcentral is "lncRNA (ENSBSLG00000007253.1)". Lineage: Eukaryota; Metazoa; Chordata; Actinopteri; Anabantiformes; Osphronemidae. The record is from RNAcentral.